GGGGUUGUGGUUCAGUGGUAGAUCACCCCCCUAGCACAUGUGAGGUGCUGGGUUUGAUCCCCAGCACUACA
This 71-nucleotide transfer RNA is filed under the name Marmota monax (woodchuck). RNAcentral's name for it is "tRNA.Ala". Lineage: Eukaryota; Metazoa; Chordata; Mammalia; Rodentia; Sciuridae. The record is from RNAcentral.